This 172-nucleotide ribosomal RNA is filed under the name uncultured Nocardioides sp. RNAcentral's name for it is "partial 16S ribosomal RNA". It matches the Rfam family "Bacterial small subunit ribosomal RNA", at positions 341 to 525 of the family's 1533-position model. Lineage: Bacteria; Bacillati; Actinomycetota; Actinomycetes; Propionibacteriales; Nocardioidaceae. The record is from RNAcentral.
ACGGGAGGCAGCAGUGGGGAAUAUUGCGCAAUGGGCGAAAGCCUGACGCAGCAACGCCGCGUGAGGGAUGACGGCCUUCGGGUUGUAAACCUCUUUCAGCACAGACGAAGCGAAAGUGACGGUAUGUGCAGAAGAAGCACCGGCCAACUACGUGCCAGCAGCCGCGGUAAUA